GGAAGGGGGUCUCCCCGGGCUCUACCUCCCGCGCCUGGGGCUACCCUCGGAGCCUCAGCCGCCACUGCGUGCGCCUCGGGCCACCAAAACUGUUUUCAAACUGCCAGGACCGGAGGUGGCCGCGUGGGGACUCGGGGGAAAGGGCUAGGUUUUGGGGGGCCGAUUGUGUGUUUGCACGCUAAGAAGCCUUGAGGGGAGAUGCAGACGUCUACUCGAGAGGAGUUGCAAUCGAGGUAUCUGCGCUCCGGCUUCCUCUUCUGGCCCGCGACCCCCUCCCCCGGAACGGAGCUGGGGAGGGGAAACCAGGAUUUUAACCAAAUUAGCAUUCACAUUCCUGGGAGGAUGCAGCCCUCGCCUGGAGUUGGGUGAUAGAAGCUUUUUUCUCUGUUUUUAUUUUUGGAGGAGAGCGCCUUGUAAUUGUCCUGAACACAUGCUUCUCCCUCCCCCUUCUUCCUUCAGCCACCAGCGGAGGAGAGAGUCCCCCUUUUUUGCAUUUAUCUUUUCCUUCCCCUUUCUUUAUUAAAGGUCCGGGAGUGGCGGCAGCCAAUCAGCGCGCGGCUUCCAUUUUGUGAGUUCAACUCCGAGGCUCUAGGGCUGCAUGAGGACGCAUUUGCAGCCCCCUAUGCCUCUCUUUUCGGGCGGCCGAGGCGAAAAAGCCGCCUUGCUGGGGUUUCGUGAUGGUGUAUUUCAUAUUGGGGCUCUUUUCGGGGUUUGUAAUUUGGCCGUGGAUAGGUAAUUGGCUGGAGCAGGGCGGCAGGGCGCGGCAGCCAAUCAGCGCGCGGCUUCUAUAGGGCUUGAGUUAUUAGACGCUGAUCUCAAAACAUCCUUCAUCAGACACCAAGGAGAGGCCAACAGAUGAGGGAAGCCAUUUUUCUGCAAUGGAAUUAAAUGGCCAAGUGGGUUUUUCCUUUGUUGCAAAUGGGGAAUGUUUUUCCUUUGACUCCACCAUCCAGUUCAGGACGCCUCAAUGUGUUGUUUAACAUUUGUCAACAGGCCACAGGAUUCAAAAUUGGAAGAAUGAAGAAGACUUUUUAAAAAGAUCUGGACUUUUCCUUAUGACUUGGAAUCCAUCUUUGUCUUGUAUAACUAGGUCAUAGCACACCAUUAAUGUCAGCAGUUAACAAUUUUGAAUUCCAAAAAACCUAAUAAACAGUCCUCAGCGAAGCCGCCUUUUUGCCAACCCAACACUGGAGAGUUUGCAGAAGUGGAAGGAGCAGAAAAUGCCAUAGAGUGUAACUUACAAAAAGGUAAACAUCAAAAAAGACAACACCAUAAUCCCCAAAUUUCCCAACUAAACAAACAAACAAAAGAUAUUUUUACAAUAACAUCUCCAAAACCACCGCCCAGCUUGAUCUUCUAGACUCCAUGGCACCGGGCUGAGCGGGUAAGUAAAAAAAAAGAAAAAAGUGACUUUUGCCCCUUCAAGGAAAUCCUUUUGCAGGCCAAGGGCUGCAAGUGUUUGGGAGCUGAGGGGAGAGAGGAGGAUUCUGGAGCUUUGUGUUUGGCAGUCGGAACAGGGAAGGGGAGUUAGACAAGGAAGGUUCUUAAGACCCUCUUUGUCUUUUUUGCCCUAGAGGAGAGAAGAGGGGACGCUGCAGCUACUCUCUGGCAACCAAGAAGCCGCCUGCGCUCGACCCCCUUGUCCUUCCCAGGUCUGAGCCUUGAUUCGGAGAGAAACUGAAGUGCUUUGGAGACAGGGGGCUCAAAAGACGAGGAAACCUC
This is a long non-coding RNA of Otolemur garnettii (small-eared galago), 1722 nucleotides long. RefSeq lists it as uncharacterized. The record is from RefSeq and is a predicted model, not a curated record. The transcript has 2 exons. NCBI's taxonomy places the organism in Eukaryota, Metazoa, Chordata, Mammalia, Primates, Galagidae.